AACGCGAAGAACCUUACCUGGGUUUGACAUCCCGGGAAAGCCCUCGAAAGAGGGAGGUGCCCUUCGGGGAACUCGGAGACAGGUGCUGCAUGGCUGUCGUCAGCUCGUGUCGUGAGAUGUUGGGUUAAGUCCCGCAACGAGCGCAACCCUUAUCUUUAGUUACCAUCAUUUAGUUGGGGACUCUAAAGAUACUGCCCCGGUCAACGGGGAGGAAGGUGGGGACGACGUCAAGUCCUCAUGGCCUUUAUACCCAGGGCUACACACGUGCUACAAUGGGCUGCACAAAGGGUCGCCACCUCGUGAGGGGGAGCUAAUCCCAGAAAGCAGUCCUAAGUUCGGAUUGGAGUCUGCAACUCGACUCCAUGAAGCUGGAAUCGCUAGUAAUCGUGGAUCAGCAUGCCACGGUGAAUACGUUCCCGGGGCUUGUACACACCGCCCGUCACAGCACGAAAGUUGGUUGUACCAGAAGUUGCUGGGCCAACCCGUAAGGGAGGCAGGUACCCAAGGUAUGAUUGAUGAUUGGGCUGAAGUCGUAACAAGGUAACCUUAAUUAAAA
RNAcentral lists this ribosomal RNA (556 nucleotides) under uncultured bacterium. RNAcentral describes it as "bacterial SSU rRNA". It matches the Rfam family "Bacterial small subunit ribosomal RNA", at positions 958 to 1511 of the family's 1533-position model. The record is from RNAcentral.